RNAcentral lists this ribosomal RNA (2514 nucleotides) under Staphylococcus aureus. Its description in RNAcentral is "bacterial LSU rRNA". It matches the Rfam family "Bacterial large subunit ribosomal RNA", at positions 310 to 2830 of the family's 2925-position model. Lineage: Bacteria; Bacillati; Bacillota; Bacilli; Caryophanales; Staphylococcaceae. The record is from RNAcentral.
CGGAGUUACAAAGGACGACAUUAGACGAAUCAUCUGGAAAGAUGAAUCAAAGAAGGUAAUAAUCCUGUAGUCGAAAAUGUUGUCUCUCUUGAGUGGAUCCUGAGUACGACGGAGCACGUGAAAUUCCGUCGGAAUCUGGGAGGACCAUCUCCUAAGGCUAAAUACUCUCUAGUGACCGAUAGUGAACCAGUACCGUGAGGGAAAGGUGAAAAGCACCCCGGAAGGGGAGUGAAAUAGAACCUGAAACCGUGUGCUUACAAGUAGUCAGAGCCCGUUAAUGGGUGAUGGCGUGCCUUUUGUAGAAUGAACCGGCGAGUUACGAUUUGAUGCAAGGUUAAGCAGUAAAUGUGGAGCCGUAGCGAAAGCGAGUCUGAAUAGGGCGUUUAGUAUUUGGUCGUAGACCCGAAACCAGGUGAUCUACCCUUGGUCAGGUUGAAGUUCAGGUAACACUGAAUGGAGGACCGAACCGACUUACGUUGAAAAGUGAGCGGAUGAACUGAGGGUAGCGGAGAAAUUCCAAUCGAACCUGGAGAUAGCUGGUUCUCUCCGAAAUAGCUUUAGGGCUAGCCUCAAGUGAUGAUUAUUGGAGGUAGAGCACUGUUUGGACGAGGGGCCCCUCUCGGGUUACCGAAUUCAGACAAACUCCGAAUGCCAAUUAAUUUAACUUGGGAGUCAGAACAUGGGUGAUAAGGUCCGUGUUCGAAAGGGAAACAGCCCAGACCACCAGCUAAGGUCCCAAAAUAUAUGUUAAGUGGAAAAGGAUGUGGCGUUGCCCAGACAACUAGGAUGUUGGCUUAGAAGCAGCCAUCAUUUAAAGAGUGCGUAAUAGCUCACUAGUCGAGUGACACUGCGCCGAAAAUGUACCGGGGCUAAACAUAUUACCGAAGCUGUGGAUUGUCCUUUGGACAAUGGUAGGAGAGCGUUCUAAGGGCGUUGAAGCAUGAUCGUAAGGACAUGUGGAGCGCUUAGAAGUGAGAAUGCCGGUGUGAGUAGCGAAAGACGGGUGAGAAUCCCGUCCACCGAUUGACUAAGGUUUCCAGAGGAAGGCUCGUCCGCUCUGGGUUAGUCGGGUCCUAAGCUGAGGCCGACAGGCGUAGGCGAUGGAUAACAGGUUGAUAUUCCUGUACCACCUAUAAUCGUUUUAAUCGAUGGGGGGACGCAGUAGGAUAGGCGAAGCGUGCGAUUGGAUUGCACGUCUAAGCAGUAAGGCUGAGUAUUAGGCAAAUCCGGUACUCGUUAAGGCUGAGCUGUGAUGGGGAGAAGACAUUGAGUCUUCGAGUCGUUGAUUUCACACUGCCGAGAAAAGCCUCUAGAUAGAAAAUAGGUGCCCGUACCGCAAACCGACACAGGUAGUCAAGAUGAGAAUUCUAAGGUGAGCGAGCGAACUCUCGUUAAGGAACUCGGCAAAAUGACCCCGUAACUUCGGGAGAAGGGGUGCUCUUUAGGGUUAACGCCCAGAAGAGCCGCAGUGAAUAGGCCCAAGCGACUGUUUAUCAAAAACACAGGUCUCUGCUAAACCGUAAGGUGAUGUAUAGGGGCUGACGCCUGCCCGGUGCUGGAAGGUUAAGAGGAGUGGUUAGCUUCUGCGAAGCUACGAAUCGAAGCCCCAGUAAACGGCGGCCGUAACUAUAACGGUCCUAAGGUAGCGAAAUUCCUUGUCGGGUAAGUUCCGACCCGCACGAAAGGCGUAACGAUUUGGGCACUGUCUCAACGAGAGACUCGGUGAAAUCAUAGUACCUGUGAAGAUGCAGGUUACCCGCGACAGGACGGAAAGACCCCGUGGAGCUUUACUGUAGCCUGAUAUUGAAAUUCGGCACAGCUUGUACAGGAUAGGUAGGAGCCUUUGAAACGUGAGCGCUAGCUUACGUGGAGGCGCUGGUGGGAUACUACCCUAGCUGUGUUGGCUUUCUAACCCGCACCACUUAUCGUGGUGGGAGACAGUGUCAGGCGGGCAGUUUGACUGGGGCGGUCGCCUCCUAAAAGGUAACGGAGGCGCUCAAAGGUUCCCUCAGAAUGGUUGGAAAUCAUUCAUAGAGUGUAAAGGCAUAAGGGAGCUUGACUGCGAGACCUACAAGUCGAGCAGGGUCGAAAGACGGACUUAGUGAUCCGGUGGUUCCGCAUGGAAGGGCCAUCGCUCAACGGAUAAAAGCUACCCCGGGGAUAACAGGCUUAUCUCCCCCAAGAGUUCACAUCGACGGGGAGGUUUGGCACCUCGAUGUCGGCUCAUCGCAUCCUGGGGCUGUAGUCGGUCCCAAGGGUUGGGCUGUUCGCCCAUUAAAGCGGUACGCGAGCUGGGUUCAGAACGUCGUGAGACAGUUCGGUCCCUAUCCGUCGUGGGCGUAGGAAAUUUGAGAGGAGCUGUCCUUAGUACGAGAGGACCGGGAUGGACAUACCUCUGGUGUACCAGUUGUCGUGCCAACGGCAUAGCUGGGUAGCUAUGUGUGGACGGGAUAAGUGCUGAAAGCAUCUAAGCAUGAAGCCCCCCUCAAGAUGAGAUUUCCCAACUUCGGUUAU